UGGGGAAUAUUGUACAAUGGGCGAAAGCCUGAUCCAGCCAUGCCGCGUGUGUGAAGAAGGUCUUCGGAUUGUAAAGCACUUUAAGUUGGGAGGAAGGGCAGUAAGCGAAUACCUUGCUGUUUUGACGUUACCGACAGUAUAAGCACCGGCUAACUCCGUGCCAGCAGCCGCGGUAAUACAGAGGGUGCAAGCGUUAAUCGGAAUUACUGGGCGUAAAGCGCGCGUAGGUGGUUCGUUAAGUUGAAUGUGAAAGCCCCGGGCUCAACCUGGGAACUGCAUCCAAAACUGGCGAGCUAGAGUAGGGCAGAGGGUGGUGGAAUUUCCUGUGUAGCGGUGAAAUGCGUAGAUAUAGGAAGGAACACCAGUGGCGAAGGCGACCACCUGGGCUCAUACUGACACUGAGGUGCGAAAGCGUGGGGAGCAAACAGG
RNAcentral lists this ribosomal RNA (429 nucleotides) under Pseudomonadota bacterium. RNAcentral describes it as "Proteobacteria bacterium partial 16S ribosomal RNA". It matches the Rfam family "Bacterial small subunit ribosomal RNA", at positions 355 to 776 of the family's 1533-position model. The record is from RNAcentral. Lineage: Bacteria; Pseudomonadati; Pseudomonadota.